This is a long non-coding RNA of Dreissena polymorpha, 626 nucleotides long. RefSeq lists it as uncharacterized. Lineage: Eukaryota; Metazoa; Mollusca; Bivalvia; Myida; Dreissenidae. The record is from RefSeq and is a predicted model, not a curated record. The transcript is spliced from 5 exons.
AAAAAGCCUUCAACAGUGCUUGUACAACUGAUGUAGAGUGCCGAACAGCAUUGUCCAAGUGCCUCAAUCAGAAAUGUACAUGUGAGGCUACCAGUUUUUAUGACUCUCAGGCUGAUUCUUGUGUUCAAAAGAAAGCCUUAAACACGGCUUGUACCGCUGACUUAGAGUGCCAGACGACUGGCGCUAAGUGCCUCAACCAGAAAUGUACCUGUGAGGCUACACAUUUCCAUGACUCACAGACUGACACUUGCCUACCAAAGAAAGCCUUUAACAGUGCUUGUACCGCUGACUUAGAGUGCAAGACGACUGGUGCAAAGUGCCUCAGCCAGAAAUGUACAUGUGAGGCUACACGUUUCCAUGGCACACAUACCGACAUUUGCCUACCAAAGAAAGCAAUUAACAGUGCUUGUACCGCUGACUUAGAGUGCCAGACGCUUGGUUCAAAAUGCCUUAACCAGAAAUGUACGUGUGAAGCUAUACGUUUCCAUGACUCACAGACUGACACCUGCCUACCAAAGAAAGCGUUCAACAGUGCUUGUGUCGCUGAUGUGGAGUGCAAGACAUCUUUUUCCAAGUGCCUUAAUCAGAAAUGUACAUGUGAGGCUACACGUUCCCGUGACCCUCAG